CCUCAUAAGAGGGCCGCAGUGAAUUGGCCCAAGCGACUGUUUACCAAAAACACAAGUAUCUGCUAAAUCGUAAGACGAAGUAUAGGUGCUGACACCUGCCCGGUGCUGGAAGGUCAAGGGGAAGGCUCAGCGCAAGCGAAGGCUAGAACUUAAGCCCCAGUAAACGGCGGCCGUAACUAUAACGGUCCUAAGGUAGCGAAAUUCCUUGUCGGGUAAGUUCCGACCCGCACGAAAGGUGUAACGAUUUGGGCACUG
This 255-nucleotide ribosomal RNA is filed under the name Helcococcus ovis. RNAcentral describes it as "partial 23S ribosomal RNA". It matches the Rfam family "Bacterial large subunit ribosomal RNA", at positions 1752 to 2018 of the family's 2925-position model. The record is from RNAcentral. Lineage: Bacteria; Bacillati; Bacillota; Tissierellia; Tissierellales; Peptoniphilaceae.